CCAACCAACCGUUUUCUGGGAAUAACUUCAUGUUUUCUGCUGUCUGGAAAAUGAACCGUUUCAAAAUUCUCCCGAGUGUCGAGUCAAACUGCGCCGUUACCUAGCAACCCCAGCCAGCCCAGGCCGUCGCCUAGCAACCAAAGCAGAACGAGAGAAAUGUUUUGCUGUUCACUUACCAUCCAGAAACUACUUGAAGCAAAAACUAAAGCUUUUCACAGAUGCACGGUGGUAUAAUUGCGCUUCUGUUUGCAGCAGUUCUCACGAGAGUGUAAACGUCGAGUUGGCCAAAAGCAGCUGAUUUGGAUUUAAAGUGACGAGACGCCCUAAAACGGCUGAAAUCUCAUAAUCUAAAAAUGAUUUUGUGCAAAAAAAAAAAAAAAAAAAAAGUAAUGAACUUGUUUUGCGCUGCCUCGCCUCUCCUGCUGCGACCCUCACCAGAAACAUCCAGGCUGAAAAACAGAAGCGAGUCGCAGGAAGGGAAGCUGAGCUAACCUGCUGCAAAGGCCCUGAACCUCAGUCUCUUCGACUGCGUUACCAAAAAGCUGCUUCCCAGCUAAUUCAAUUAAUAGGCCAAUUUCUGCUGUGAUCUCAGAAACACACUCAGCAGUGCUGGGUAAUUUAAUUUCUCUACAGCAUGAUGUAAUCUGCCCUCAAUGUUAAAAGAAAGCAAUCAGCUUACCCAAAGUCACGCUAACGCUAAUUCACUUUCUGGGCUCACACUCGAGUUUCUGUCCUCUUAGUCGCAUGUUCACAGGGUUUCACAGAAGUAUUUAUGCUGCUUCUACCUGUUCACGUUACAGCAGGAUAAAUAAAGGACUCUGCUGUGUUUAAAAAGCAAAAAAAAAGAAUAAUGAAUACUUUGUGUGUAUUAAAAAUGACAGUUUCAAACAUUUAUUUCAAAUAAUGUGAAAACCGUGGUGAUCCUUUUUGCACAUCUAGACACUGAAACUUUUGCUGUUUCUACUUCACAGAAUGUAAAAUGCUAUUUUCUAUUAGAUAAGGGUUUGGGCUUUGACUGGGCCAUUCUAAUACAUGAACAUGUUUUAAUGUAAAUCAGCUUUGGCUGCAUGUUUUGGUCUUAAAUCUUCUGCAGCUUCUUGGUUCCAUGUUUCCAUCAAAUCAGACCAGCUUCUCUGAUCCUGCUGGAGAAACGAACCCCCACAGCAUGACGCUACCACUGCCAUGUUUUAAACAUGGGGAUGGGACGGUUUGUUCAGGUUUCUUUACAUCACGUCCUUUUCCUGCAGCAGUCAGUGUAACGGGGCGAGCAGCCGGAUCCAGGAAAUACCCGAGUGUUUUGAUUGAAAGGCCGUCGAUGUUUUUAAAGAAGUCCUUCCUGAAUUCGUGAAUUUGUUGAGACGGUUUUCAAACAUCCUGCAAGUCUGAAGACAUCAUGUUGGUGCAAACCUUUUGCUUCUUUCAGCGUUUAAGCGUUUAACAACUUAGCGAUCUAGCUCAAGCUUACUAUUUUAGUCCUGUGUUAAUAAAUAUUAACAUUUCAUUUGUUAAUAAUGUAAUGUCCCAUUUUUACAGUAAAGCACAGUGCUGCCUUUACUGUGCUGAUCUGCUCAGGUUUCCCUGCACCAGCAUUAGCGUUAGCAUUAGCAUUGUUUUUCUGCAGCAACAGAGGAGGAAAGUAGAUGCAUCUGGGCUGCUUUGGAGAAACUCCAAGUUUUCUUCUCUUUCUUCCAAGAUGGAUUACUACACACACUCACACACACGAAACAAUUAA
Poecilia latipinna (sailfin molly) is the source of this 1732-nucleotide long non-coding RNA. RefSeq lists it as uncharacterized. Lineage: Eukaryota; Metazoa; Chordata; Actinopteri; Cyprinodontiformes; Poeciliidae. The transcript is spliced from 2 exons. The record is from RefSeq and is a predicted model, not a curated record.